AUAGUACUCCCUCCGUCCGAAAAUACUUGUCAUCAAAAUGGAUAAAAAUGGAUACAUCUAGAACUAAAAUACAUAAAGAUGCAUUCCCUUUUAUUCAUUUUGGUGACAAGUAUUUCCGGACGGAGGGAGUAUGAG
Molecule: non-coding RNA, 135 nt
Organism: Triticum aestivum (bread wheat)
Lineage: Eukaryota; Viridiplantae; Streptophyta; Magnoliopsida; Poales; Poaceae
Source: Rfam